Molecule: RNA transcript, 1574 nt
Organism: Anopheles funestus (African malaria mosquito)
Lineage: Eukaryota; Metazoa; Arthropoda; Insecta; Diptera; Culicidae
Gene: Oscillin
Gene name: glucosamine-6-phosphate isomerase
Exons: 4
Source: RefSeq, a predicted model, not a curated record
AAAGUGCUACAAAACUAAUAAAAAAAUAUCAUUAAUCAAAGAUAACUUUUUUAUACUGCAACAUAUAAUAGUAAGAACUUUCCCGACAUCGGUGUAUGCAUAAGAGAGGUUUUUAUUUGAAGCGAUAAGCUCGCGAACAGCUCAUUCCUUCCGCCACCGUCUUUACGCUGCGUUGUGCAUCGUGUGUGAUAAGUAAACGUUUCGUAAACUCAAAUCAAAAUGCGUCUGAUUAUCCUCGACACGGCUGCGUACGUUGGCGAAUGGUCGGCCAAGUACGUGAUGAAGCGCAUCAACGACUUCAAGCCAGGUCCGGAUCGGUACUUUACGCUCGGCCUGCCGACCGGAUCGACACCGCUCGGCAUGUACCGGAAUCUGAUCAAGUUCCACGAGCAGGGACGCAUCUCGUUCAAGUACGUCAAAACAUUCAACAUGGACGAGUACGUGGAUUUGCCGCGGGAUCAUCCGGAAAGCUACCACUUCUUCAUGUGGCACAAUUUCUUCAAGCACAUCGACAUCGAUCCGGAGAAUGUACACAUACUCGAUGGCAAUGCGCCCGAUCUGGUGGCCGAGUGUAAUGCAUUCGAGGAGAAGAUAAAGGCAGCGGGUGGCAUUGAACUGUUUAUCGGUGGCAUCGGUCCGGAUGGUCAUAUUGCGUUCAACGAGCCUGGAUCGUCGUUGGCAUCGCGGACACGCGUGAAAACGCUCGCACAGGAUACGCUGGAGGCAAACGCACGGUUCUUUGGGAACGAUAUAAGCAAGGUGCCGAAACAGGCCCUGACGGUCGGUGUGGCCACGGUGAUGGAUGCACGCGAGGUAAUGAUCAUGAUCCUUGGAUCGCACAAAGCGUUUGCACUGUAUAAGGCGAUCGAGGAGGGUGUGAACCACAUGUGGACAGUCAGUGCAUUCCAGCAACAUCCGCACACGAUCAUGAUCUGUGACGAGGACGCCACACUAGAGCUACGUGUGAAAACUGUGAAAUAUUUCAAGGACUGCUACAAACUGUCAGCCGAUGGGUUCGAACAGGCAUUGGCCCGCAAUUGAUACAAGGGUGGUAUCAGUUUCACUGCAUGUUUUUUCUUUUUGUGCUAUCAACUCAACUAUCGGUCUGGAUUCUCCUCUCAAAGAACUACGGGUUGCUGAAAGCGAAUAGUUCUCCUUCUUACGCCUUCCAUCCCUCCAAUCCCUGAUGCACAUCCGUGCGGUGAAGCAAUGCGGUCAAAGAUGACAGUGGCCUGAUGGAUGUACACUCGAAACUGAUCGAGGAUGAUGCACCGAAAUAAAUCUCACACAAUCAUAUGGCGGUGGAGGAAAAAUGAACAAAAAAUAUACAACAAAACCAUAUCUACCUAAGUAUUUCGGUUUGGGCGAUGGAAUCGAACUUUGUUACAAAGUGUUUAAAAUAGUGACAAAAUGUUAACAGUAAGCCGGAAAAGUGUUGUUAUGUUUAGCUUUUCUUGCUUGUACAAUUAUUUCUUUAUUUGAAUUCAAAUGCUAAGCCAAGCUGUGGUGAUCAAACAGAAGCUUUCAUAAAACAACAACAGAUAAUAAAUGAUAGAACAAUUUUAAUAAAAUUA